GCGGGCGUAGCUCAGUGGUAGAGCAUAACCUUGCCAAGGUUGGGGUCGCGAGUUCGAGCCUCGUCGCCCGCUCCA
Molecule: transfer RNA, 75 nt
Filed under: Nitrospirota bacterium
Lineage: Bacteria; Pseudomonadati; Nitrospirota
Description: Nitrospirae bacterium (sediment metagenome) tRNA-Gly
Rfam family: tRNA
About the family: Transfer RNA (tRNA) molecules are approximately 80 nucleotides in length. Their secondary structure includes four short double-helical elements and three loops (D, anti-codon, and T loops). Further hydrogen bonds mediate the characteristic L-shaped molecular structure. tRNAs have two regions of fundamental functional importance: the anti-codon, which is responsible for specific mRNA codon recognition, and the 3' end, to which the tRNAs corresponding amino acid is attached (by aminoacyl-tRNA synthetases). tRNAs cope with the degeneracy of the genetic code in two manners: having more than one tRNA (with a specific anti-codon) for a particular amino acid; and 'wobble' base-pairing, i.e. permitting non-standard base-pairing at the 3rd anti-codon position.
Source: RNAcentral